This 449-nucleotide ribosomal RNA is filed under the name uncultured bacterium. RNAcentral's name for it is "bacterial SSU rRNA". It matches the Rfam family "Bacterial small subunit ribosomal RNA", at positions 330 to 793 of the family's 1533-position model. The record is from RNAcentral.
CCCAGACUCCUACGGGAGGCAGCAGUGGGGGAUAUUGCACAAUGGGGGAAACCCUGAUGCAGCGACGCCGCGUGGGUGAAGAAGUAUUUCGGUAUGUAAAGCCCUAUCAGCAGGGAAGAAAGAAGACGGUACCUGACUAAGAAGCCCCGGCUAACUACGUGCCAGCAGCCGCGGUAAUACGUAGGGGGCGAGCGUUAUCCGGAUUCACUGGGUGUAAAGGGAGCGUAGACGGCCGUGCAAGCCAGGAGUGAAAGCCCGGGGCCCAACCCCGGGACUGCUCUUGGAACUGUGCGGCUGGAGUGCGGGAGGGGCAGGCGGAAUUCCUGGUGUAGCGGUGAAAUGCGUAGAUAUAAGGAGGAACACCGGCGGCGAAGGCGGCCUGCUGGACCGCGACUGACGUUGAGGCUCGAAAGCGUGGGGAGCGAACAGGAUUAGAUACCCCUGUAUUG